This 399-nucleotide ribosomal RNA is filed under the name uncultured bacterium. Its description in RNAcentral is "bacterial SSU rRNA". It matches the Rfam family "Bacterial small subunit ribosomal RNA", at positions 362 to 775 of the family's 1533-position model. The record is from RNAcentral.
UAUNUGGCAAUGGGCGCAAGCCUGACCCAGCNACGCCGCGUGAAGGAAGAAGGCUUUCGGGUUUUAAACUUCUUUUCUCAGGGACGAAGAAAGUGACGGUACCUGAGGAAUAAGCCACGGCUAACUACGUGCCAGCACCCGCGGUAAUACGUAGGUGGCAAGCGUUAUCCGAAUUUACUGGGUGUAAAUGGCGUGUAGGCGGGAAAGCAAGUCAGAUGUGAAAACCACGGGCUCAACCUGUGGCCUGCAUUUGAAACUGUUUUUCUUGAGUACUGGAGAGGCAGACGGAAUUCCUAGUGUAGCGGUGAAAUGCGUAGAUAUUAGGAGGAACACCAGUGGCGAAGGCGGUCUGCUGGACAGCAACUGACGCUGAGGCGCGAAAGCGUGGGGAGCAAACAG